AUUGAACGCUGGCGGCAUGCUUUACACAUGCAAGUCGAACGGUAACAGGGUGCUUGCACCGCUGACGAGUGGCGAACGGGUGAGUAAUGCGUCGGAACGUGCCGAGUAGUGGGGGAUAACGCAGCGAAAGUUGUGCUAAUACCGCAUACGUACUGAGGUAGAAAGUGGGGGACCUUCGGGCCUCACGCUAUUCGAGCGGCCGACGUCUGAUUAGCUAGUAGGUGAGGUAAAGGCUCGCCUAGGCGACGAUCAGUAGCGGGGCUGAGAGGAUGGUCCGCGACACUGGGACUGAGACACGGGCCAGACUCCUACGGGAGGCAGCAGUGGGGAAUUAUGGACAAUGGCCGAAAGCCUGAUCCAGCCAUGCCGCGUGUCUGAAGGAGGCCUUCGGGUUGUAAAGGACUUUCGUCAGGGAGGAAAUCCCUAGUGCUAAUAACACUGGGGGAUGACGGUACCUGAAGAAUAAGCACCGGCUAACUACGUGCCAGCAGCCGCCGUAA
RNAcentral lists this ribosomal RNA (500 nucleotides) under uncultured bacterium. Its description in RNAcentral is "partial 16S ribosomal RNA". It matches the Rfam family "Bacterial small subunit ribosomal RNA", at positions 29 to 523 of the family's 1533-position model. The record is from RNAcentral.